RNAcentral lists this ribosomal RNA (439 nucleotides) under uncultured bacterium. RNAcentral describes it as "partial 16S ribosomal RNA". It matches the Rfam family "Bacterial small subunit ribosomal RNA", at positions 339 to 795 of the family's 1533-position model. The record is from RNAcentral.
CUACGGGGGGCUCCAGUGAGGAAUAUUGCACAAUGGAGGAAACUCUGAUGCAGCAACGCCGCGUGGAGGAUGACGCAUUUCGGUGUGUAAACUCCUUUUAUAUGUCAAGAAAAUGACGGUAGCAUAUGAAUAAGCACCGGCUAACUCCGUGCCAGCAGCCGCGGUAAUACGGAGGGUGCAAGCGUUACUCGGAAUCACUGGGCGUAAAGGACGCGUAGGCGGGUUGGAAAGUCAGGUGUGAAAUCCUACAGCUUAACUGUAGAACUGCACUUGAAACUUCUAAUCUAGAGUAUGGGAGGGGGAGAUGGAAUUAGUGGUGUAGGGGUAAAAUCCGUAGAUAUCACUAGGAAUACCUAAAGCGAAGGCGAUCUCCUGGAACAUUACUGACGCUAAGGCGUGAAAGCGUGGGGAGCAAACAGGAUUAGAUACCCGAGUAGUC